Molecule: ribosomal RNA, 252 nt
Filed under: uncultured bacterium
Lineage: Bacteria
Description: partial 16S ribosomal RNA
Rfam family: Bacterial small subunit ribosomal RNA
Source: RNAcentral
UACGGGGGGGGCAAGCGUUGUUCGGAAUUACUGGGCGUAAAGGGCUCGUAGGUGGUCAACUAAGUCGGACGUGAAAUCCCUCGGCUUAACCGGGGAACUGCGUCCGAUACUGGAUGACUUGAGUUCGGGAGAGGGAUGCGGAAUUCCAGGUGUAGCGGUGAAAUGCGUAGAUAUCUGGAGGAACACCGGUGGCGAAGGCGGCAUCCUGGACCGACACUGACGCUGAGGAGCGAAAGCCAGGGAGCAAACGGG